This 427-nucleotide ribosomal RNA is filed under the name uncultured bacterium. Its description in RNAcentral is "bacterial SSU rRNA". It matches the Rfam family "Bacterial small subunit ribosomal RNA", at positions 43 to 468 of the family's 1533-position model. The record is from RNAcentral.
UAGGCCUAACACAUGCAAGUCGAGCGGCAGCGGGAUUAGUAGCAAUACUAAUUGCCGGCGAGCGGCGGACGGGUGAGUAACGCGUAGGAACUUGCCUUUAAGAGGGGGAUAACCAGAGGAAACUUUGGCUAAUACCGCAUAAACUCGAGAGAGAAAAGCUGCCCGCAAGGGUGGCGCUUAAAGAGAGGCCUGCGUCCGAUUAGCUAGUUGGUGAGGUAAAGGCUUACCAAGGCGAUGAUCGGUAACUGGUCUGAGAGGACGACCAGUCACACUGGGACUGAGACACGGCCCAGACUCCUACGGGAGGCAGCAGUGGGGAAUAUUGGACAAUGGGGGCAACCCUGAUCCAGCGAUGCCGCGUGAGUGAAGAAGGCCUUCGGGUCGUAAAGCUCUUGAGGUUGGGAAGAAGGUUGUGGGGGAAUAGCCC